This 412-nucleotide unclassified non-coding RNA is filed under the name soil metagenome. Its description in RNAcentral is "partial contains 5.8S ribosomal RNA, internal transcribed spacer 2, and large subunit ribosomal RNA". The stretch from base 1 to 122 matches the Rfam family "5.8S ribosomal RNA", at positions 35 to 154 of the family's 154-position model. The record is from RNAcentral.
GAUGAAGAACGCAGCGAAAUGCGAUACUUGGUGUGAAUUGCAGAAUCCCGUGAACCAUCGAGUCUUUGAACGCAAGUUGCGCCCGAAGCCGUCAGGCCGAGGGCACGCCUGCCUGGGCGUCACACGCCGUUGCCCCCCCGCGCCCCGCACCCAACUCUUUGGGAGCGACCGCGGGGCGGGCUGAUGAUGGCCUCCCGUGCGCUCCGCCGCGCGGUUGGCCCAAAUACCGAGUCCCCGGCGACGUGCGCCAUGACGAUCGGUGGUUGAGAGACCUCUGUCGCAAGUCGUGCGCGCCCGUCGCGUCACGCGGGCUCGCAUAGCGCCUCGCGCCGCACCCGGUGCGGAGCUUUCAACGCGACCCCAGGUCAGGCGGGGUUACCCGCUGAGUUUAAGCAUAUCAAUAAGCGGAGGA